This 497-nucleotide ribosomal RNA is filed under the name uncultured bacterium. Its description in RNAcentral is "partial 16S ribosomal RNA". It matches the Rfam family "Bacterial small subunit ribosomal RNA", at positions 28 to 507 of the family's 1533-position model. The record is from RNAcentral.
GACGAACGCUGGCGGCGUGCCUAAUACAUGCAAGUUGAGCGCUGAAGGUUGGUACUUGUACCAACUGGAUGAGCAGCGAACGGGUGAGUAACGCGUGGGGAAUCUGCCUUUGAGCGGGGGACAACAUUUGGAAACGAAUGCUAAUACCGCAUAAAAACUUUAAACACAAGUUUUAAGUUUGAAAGAUGCAAUUGCAUCACUCAAAGAUGGUCCCGCGUUGUAUUAGCUAGUUGGUGAGGUAAAGGCUCACCAAGGCGAUGAUACAUAGCCGACCUGAGAGGGUGAUCGGCCACAUUGGGACUGAGACACGGCCCAAACUCCUACGGGAGGCAGCAGUAGGGAAUCUUCGGCAAUGGACGAAAGUCUGACCGAGCAACGCCGCGUGAGUGAAGAGGGUUUUCGGAUCGUAAAACUCUGUUGGUAGAGAAGAACGUUGGUGAGAGUGGAAAGCUCAUCAAGUGACGGUAACUACCCAGAAAGGGACGGCUAACUACGUG